UAAAAACUGAAUUCAGAGAAAUAUCCUGCUGCUGUGUACACAUUUUACCUAGAAAAAAUGUACUGUCUAAGACUACAAAACAAAAACUGAAAAAAAAAGAACUUGACCAUACAUUUGCCGUAAGGAAGAAUUAGAUACCUCAAAAAUAAGACUGAAGAAGAAACAUCUUGUUGUUCCCCUAUGGGAAAAUGUAGAAAAAAGUCAAAAAUUAGGAUGAAGAAAAAACUCUGAAGACUGAUGCUACUUGUGCUGAAGACUGAUGAAAACGCAUACAAAACCUGACAGUAACUUCAAUAAAAAACAAUGAUGGGAACAGAGAUCUUGCCAGAAUAGCAUACGACAACAAUUAUCUUCGAAAAGUUGUUUCUUAAACUCCGCCCUCGUAAAACAACCACUCCUUGGCUGCUACAGCCGCUGGAAGCGACACAGGUGUCAGUAGGCUUAUUAGCGCAGACCCACAAAAAAUGAUCUUCCUCCGUGAGUUGUAUCUUUGAGCGUCAAAAGCAUGUAUCUGUUGUGAUGGGAUUCAACACCACUGACGCCCCAUUUGGUCCAUUUCCAGCGUGCAUCUGAUCUGUAAAAAAUGAAGUGAAGCAAUAAAUAUGAAGGCCAAAUUAGUAAGAUGACAAAAUGCAGAUAAACUGAAAACUGUAUGAACAAACUUGCUAACCUACCUGGGAUUUCUUGACAAACUAAGCAACUAGGAUGGACAGCUUUAUUCGAGAAGAUCGAACAAGGACUGAAGUAGCUGAAGGUCUGAAUACUCAUAAAUAAGAAAACAGUCUAGAUAAGCAGAACAAAUUUUUCGUGGUUGUAGGCUGUGGUGGACUUAGGUCUGAAACAAUGAAUACUAAAUUAAGACUGAACAGUGAAUACUAACUAACCUACCUAUGUGGUAACACACAAAACUGAACAAAAUGACACCUAACACUGAAACUAAUAACAUAACUAAAAAAUGACACUAACCCCUGAGAGUACUUAAAAUGACACUAGUGUGGGAGAAGUUGUUGAGUAAGUGUGGGACAACUUUGGCUCGGAGAUGUGAAAUAUAACCUACAGGUACAAAAAUAAAGGUAAGAAAAUGAUCAGGACUCAUUGGAAAAUGACAGAGUGAGUAAGCACUAGGGACUCAGACUGAUUGACUAAAAACUGAUAGACUAAAAAAGGAAAUGAAUGCAACAAGUAAUGACUAAAUGAGAAAAACAAAUCUAAGAAAAAGCUAAAGUUUAUAUAAUUCUAUCAGCUAAAAGGACUAAGUUUGUAUCUGAAGCAGGAAAAAACUGAAUUCAUACACAAACUAAAGAAGAAAUGAAAUGUUUAACUGAACAGGACAACUAUCAUGCUAUCAUAAAACAUACAUGGAGGUGUUGGUAAUAUCCACAUCAUAGCCUUGUAAAAAUGAGUGAUGAAUGAAAAAUGAAACAUAACAAGAACUAGACUGUAGUGAUAAAUGAAUAACUGACCAUGACAGUGAACUAGACUAUAGUGAUAAAUUUUUUUGAAACAGAACUAUAGUGAUAAAUUGAACAUAUUCAAAACUAAGUUACCACUCAGCUUUCAAAGUCCUCAGACAACCAAACCCCAAAAUUUAGACGCGAUGAGCGACGGUCAGCGCAGUCGGACCUGCAGAUUGGGUACGCCAUCCCCGUUACAUAUGUAGCAGAGAAAAAACUAUUUUUUUAGCAAAAAGAUGACUGAAAAACUAAGAACAGAGACUCACCAGAUAACUAAUUUAAACUACAGGAAUUAUAAACACAUAUCAAGUCUAACAAAUUUAAAAUGAAUGCCGAAAAUACAGGAAUAACAUCAUAAAGUGAAAAUAAUAAGCUGAAUGGAAACUAACUAGUUAGAAUAAUAAAUGACUUAACUUAAAACUGAUAGACUAGAACAAACACUGACCAAAUAACUGAAGAGAACUAAAAUGAGACACUUAAGAUACUAAACAAACACCGACCAAAUAACUAAUCACUUAAUAUACAGUUGAAGAGAACUAAAACUGAUACUUUAGAGUACUGAUGACUAAAAACUGAAAAUAAUCUAGCAAAAAAACCAGUGCAAAAAACUGAAAACCAAAAACUAAAAACUUAGGACUUACAGGAACAUAAGGUUCAAAACAGAAAUAAUCAUCUACUAAAAGACAAGACUCAUGAGAGAUAGGAGUGAAGAAAGAUGCAAAUGAUAACUAAAUAUGAUAAAAAUGAGGACUGAUACUAUUACCAAAACUAACAUAAGACUGAGAAGGCAAGCUUACAAACUGAGGAAGAAAAACACCAAUUGCUGGAACAAAAUUAUAGAAAGGUACUGAAAACGGAAGACUAGACUACAGAAACACUGAAAACAAAGAUUCUAAAGACACAGAAAACUGAAGAACUAGAGAUAGAGAGAAAAGAGGGCUGAAUAAACAAGACAAAAAAGGUGGUUGAAUAGUAAGGUGACUCAAGAAACACUGAAAAGUGAAGGAUUGAAGACAGAGAAAAGAAAUCUGAAGAAAUAAACAAUUACUAAAGACUGAAGAAAGAUGACUGAAAAUAUAUAUGAAAUAGUUACUGAUGACAGGAUGAAGAAGAGAUGUAAUGGGCAAGGUAUGCAAACAGAUGAAUGAAGCAAUUCCAACAGGACAAUAGGGACCCUAACCACUAUAUGGCGCAGAGUGGAGGUGACAGUUUGACUGUCGAGCUAUUGAAUCCUACUAUAGCCUGACAAUUUGUCUAACCUCCCUGAUUGGAUAAGUGAUUUUCAGGCACUGUAGUUAAAAAAAAUAUGAAGUGAAGUUUGCAGCAGUUGAAAUUCAUUUUAAACGAUAGCCAUUGCCAGAAGAACUAAACAAAAAAGUAGGCCCUUUCGCCUUUGAGACACAUCGAUCUUUCACAACUAGCGCGCAACCUAGCCGACCCGUCUCCUGGUAGAUGUUGAUUUCUUCGCGUGUGUUCAAAGAAACUAAUUUAGGGGUGCUCUGGUUUUUUUACUGUUAGGCUGACCCCUGAAAAAAUUGACUUCGAACACACCUUAAUUGGAGGCACUACAAUGAAAGAAAAAUCGCUGUCUACUGAAAAAUGAACGCCCAUGAACCUGCACUACAGCAAAAAAGAAACCUACACCGAAAAGCAACCAGUGUUCAUGCAGGAAAAAGGCCUAAACCUACAAAAAGCAUACUGAAAAAUUAUAAUAGCCAAUACAUAACAGGUAACAGGAAAAAUUCAGAUCUGUCUGUUUUAGCGUGAAUAAAUCACGCCAAAAAAUAACCGUGAGCUUGCUCACAAAAGUCGGGCGUGAGAAGCAAAACCAUCUCCAUAAUGAAGGAAAUAUUUAAGCUGAAUAAUGUACAGAACAUGGUAAAAAAAACUGAAUAAUCUAGUACCAAAAGCUAGCUCUCAUUCACUAAACUGAAAAAUGAUAAGUACAGAAAAUAUAGAUUGUGCGCAUGUAACAUGUUUUCAUCAUGGAAGAUGCUACCGAAGAAAAUAGGAUUCAGAACAUUCCUUCGUCCAUGCUUACAUCAACAGAAAGCAGACGAAAAUGCCGCCUGAACCAUUACUGAACAUUGCAUAGACCCUCCCACAAAAAAAUAAAAUCACCAGCAAAUGCCUAAAAAACUCAAAUACCUACUUCCACACAUGCAACACAUGUGCAGUUUUUAAAAGACUGCAGAGGAGCCGAACCGCAGAUCUACAUCCAACACUUCGUAGUCAACUUAAUGGAAUGUUUUGUUUAGUGGUGAAAUUGACACUCAACACUUCUUUGAACCGGAGAUCUAGAUCCAGAAAAACAACAAGCCGGACUUGGCGAUGAAAUUUGGGGAUUGACUGACACACACGCAUAGGUGGCUGCAAAAUAUUCAGGAUCGUUUCUCAUGAACCACUCAAAAUCGCAGAUGUGAACUAAGCUAUCGCAAAACGUUCCUACCCAAAAACCAGCUAAUCGAACAACCCCUGCGACAUGGCUCUAUGCCCGGCGACCACGACGAUGAACUGAAUCAAACACAGAAAGAGGCAGAUCAGAUAGAACAAACAAAAAAAAUGGACAAACCUAGGACAACAGGGAGACGGAAGUAUACCUUGCGCCCCACCGACGCCGGCAAAUACUACCUCCCCCAGCAUGGGUGCUUGUUGGCCGCGAGCACGACGGGGAGCUCCGCUGAGUUCCUCUCCAGCCCGCGGCCCUCUCUGUGACGCACGCCUCCAGCAAUCAAGCGCCACGCUCCAUCUCCGGUUGGCCGACCAACCGCUAAUCACCGGCGAGGAGGCCCCUUCCCUCCGCCGUCUCCGCCCGCCUCGGCCAACCCCUUCCAAUCCCCUCCCCGGCUAGGACAAAGGCCGCCGCCCUUCG
This 4326-nucleotide long non-coding RNA is filed under the name Triticum aestivum (bread wheat). RNAcentral describes it as "long non-coding RNA (TAES_LNC015393)". Lineage: Eukaryota; Viridiplantae; Streptophyta; Magnoliopsida; Poales; Poaceae. The record is from RNAcentral.